Molecule: ribosomal RNA, 1400 nt
Filed under: bacterium peng-1
Lineage: Bacteria
Description: bacterial SSU rRNA
Rfam family: Bacterial small subunit ribosomal RNA
Source: RNAcentral
CAGUCGAGCGAACAGAUGAGAAGCUUGCUUCUCUGAUGUUAGCGGCGGACGGGUGAGUAACACGUGGGUAACCUACCUAUAAGACUGGGAUAACUCCGGGAAACCGGGGCUAAUACCGGAUAAUAUUUUGAACCGCAUGGUUCAAUAGUGAAAGACGGUUUCGGCUGUCACUUAUAGAUGGACCCGCGCCGUAUUAGCUAGUUGGUAAGGUAACGGCUUACCAAGGCGACGAUACGUAGCCGACCUGAGAGGGUGAUCGGCCACACUGGAACUGAGACACGGUCCAGACUCCUACGGGAGGCAGCAGUAGGGAAUCUUCCGCAAUGGGCGAAAGCCUGACGGAGCAACGCCGCGUGAGUGAUGAAGGUCUUCGGAUCGUAAAACUCUGUUGUUAGGGAAGAACAAAUUUGUUAGUAACUGAACAAGUCUUGACGGUACCUAACCAGAAAGCCACGGCUAACUACGUGCCAGCAGCCGCGGUAAUACGUAGGUGGCAAGCGUUAUCCGGAAUUAUUGGGCGUAAAGCGCGCGUAGGCGGUUUCUUAAGUCUGAUGUGAAAGCCCACGGCUCAACCGUGGAGGGUCAUUGGAAACUGGGAAACUUGAGUGCAGAAGAGGAGAGUGGAAUUCCAUGUGUAGCGGUGAAAUGCGCAGAGAUAUGGAGGAACACCAGUGGCGAAGGCGGCUCUCUGGUCUGUAACUGACGCUGAUGUGCGAAAGCGUGGGGAUCAAACAGGAUUAGAUACCCUGGUAGUCCACGCCGUAAACGAUGAGUGCUAAGUGUUAGGGGGUUUCCGCCCCUUAGUGCUGCAGCUAACGCAUUAAGCACUCCGCCUGGGGAGUACGACCGCAAGGUUGAAACUCAAAGGAAUUGACGGGGACCCGCACAAGCGGUGGAGCAUGUGGUUUAAUUCGAAGCAACGCGAAGAACCUUACCAAAUCUUGACAUCCUUUGACCGCUCUAGAGAUAGAGUCUUCCCCUUCGGGGGACAAAGUGACAGGUGGUGCAUGGUUGUCGUCAGCUCGUGUCGUGAGAUGUUGGGUUAAGUCCCGCAACGAGCGCAACCCUUAAGCUUAGUUGCCAUCAUUAAGUUGGGCACUCUAGGUUGACUGCCGGUGACAAACCGGAGGAAGGUGGGGAUGACGUCAAAUCAUCAUGCCCCUUAUGAUUUGGGCUACACACGUGCUACAAUGGAUAAUACAAAGGGCAGCGAAUCCGCGAGGCCAAGCAAAUCCCAUAAAAUUAUUCUCAGUUCGGAUUGUAGUCUGCAACUCGACUACAUGAAGCUGGAAUCGCUAGUAAUCGUAGAUCAGCAUGCUACGGUGAAUACGUUCCCGGGUCUUGUACACACCGCCCGUCACACCACGAGAGUUUGUAACACCCGAAGCCGGUGGAGUAAC